Molecule: ribosomal RNA, 434 nt
Filed under: uncultured Lachnospiraceae bacterium
Lineage: Bacteria; Bacillati; Bacillota; Clostridia; Lachnospirales; Lachnospiraceae
Description: partial 16S ribosomal RNA
Rfam family: Bacterial small subunit ribosomal RNA
Source: RNAcentral
ACGGAAGGCAGCAGUGGGGAAUAUUGCACAAUGGGGGAAACCCUGAUGCAGCGACGCCGCGUGAGUGAAGAAGUAUUUCGGUAUGUAAAGCUCUAUCAGCAGGAAAGAAAAUGACGGUACCUGACUAAGAAGCCCCGGCUAACUACGUGCCAGCAGCCGCGGUAAUACGUAGGGGGCAAGCGUUAUCCGGAUUUACUGGGUGUAAAGGGAGCGUAGACGGCUUUGCAAGUCUGAAGUGAAAGCCCGGGGCUCAACCCCGGAACUGCUUUGGAAACUGUAGAGCUAGAGUUCAGGAGAGGUAAGUGGAAUUCCUAGUGUAGCGGUGAAAUGCGUAGAUAUUAGGAGGAACACCAGUGGCGAAGGCGGCUUACUGGACUGUAACUGACGUUGAGGCUCGAAGGCGUGGGGAGCAAACAGGAUUAGAUACCCUGGUA